AGCGAACGCUGGCGGCAUGCCUAACACAUGCAAGUCGCACGGGGGGGCUUCGGCCUCCCAGUGGCGGACGGGUGAGGAACGCGUAGGGACCUGUCGAGGGGUGGGGGAUAACCGCGGGAAACUGCGGCUAAUACCGCAUGACGCCGCGGCGUGACAGCCGGGGCCAAAGGCGAAAGCCGCCCGCCGAGGGGCCUGCGUCCGAUUAGCUGGGUGGCGGGGUAGCGGCCCACCAAGGCGUCGAUCGGUAGCUGGUCUGAGAGGGUGAUCAGCCACACCGGGACUGAGACACGGCCCGGACUCCUACGGGAGGCAGCAGUGGGGAAUAUUGGACAAUGGGCGCAAGCCUGAUCCAGCAAUGCCGCGUGGGUGAAGAAGGUCUUCGGAUUGUAAAGCCCUUUCGGCGGGGACGAUGGUGACGGUACCCGCAGAAGAAGCCCCGGCUAACUUCGUG
This 451-nucleotide ribosomal RNA is filed under the name uncultured bacterium. RNAcentral describes it as "partial 16S ribosomal RNA". It matches the Rfam family "Bacterial small subunit ribosomal RNA", at positions 28 to 507 of the family's 1533-position model. The record is from RNAcentral.